This 496-nucleotide ribosomal RNA is filed under the name uncultured bacterium. RNAcentral's name for it is "bacterial SSU rRNA". It matches the Rfam family "Bacterial small subunit ribosomal RNA", at positions 37 to 507 of the family's 1533-position model. The record is from RNAcentral.
CGUGGCGGCGUGCCUAACACAUGCAAGUCGUACGAGAAAGUUGGCUUCGGCCGAUGAGUAAAGUGGCGCACGGGUGAGUAAUGCGUGGAUAAUCUGCCCUUUAGUUGGGAAUAACGUACCGAAAGGUGCGCUAAUACCUGAUAAUACUGCAUAACUACUGUUGUGUAGUCAAAGAAGGCCUCUGUUUACAAGCUUUUGCUGAAGGAUGAGUCCGCGUACCAUUAGCUGGUUGGUGGGGUAAUGGCCUACCAAGGCUACGAUGGUUAGCUGGUCUGAGAGGAUGAUCAGCCACACUGGAACUGAGACACGGUCCAGACUCCUACGGGAGGCAGCAGUGAGGAAUAUUGCGCAAUGGGGGCAACCCUGACGCAGCAACGCCGCGUGAGUGAGGAAGGUUUUCGGACCGUAAAGCUCUGUCGAGCGGGAAGAAAUGUAUCAUGGCUAAUAUCCAUGAUACUUGACGGUACCGCUAAAGGAAGCACCGGCUAACUCCGUG